Molecule: ribosomal RNA, 90 nt
Filed under: Escherichia coli
Lineage: Bacteria; Pseudomonadati; Pseudomonadota; Gammaproteobacteria; Enterobacterales; Enterobacteriaceae
Description: partial 16S ribosomal RNA
Rfam family: Bacterial small subunit ribosomal RNA (bases 1-78)
Source: RNAcentral
ACCACUUUGUGAUUCAUGACUGGGGUGAAGUCGUAACCAGGUAACCGUAGGGGAACCUGCGGUUGGAUCACCUCCUUACCUUAAAGAAGC